GGAAACUCUCAAUAAAGGGAAAGACAGCCACAGAGCACAGAGUGGUGCCUGAGAAUGUGGUACCCAAGCCGAGGCUGUCUUGACCCCAGCUCUGUUAUUCGCUAGCUGCUCUGGUUUGGGUGUGGUUUGUCCCUUGAGGGUCCCUGUGUCUGGAGGCUUAAUCUCCAGUGUGGCAAUGUGAGAGAAAAUGGAAUCUGAAAGAGGCGGAGCCUCAUGAGAGGUGAUUGGAUCAUUGGGAGAUGUCCUUGGAGGGAACAGACCUAGCUCUCUAGUGGGACCCUGCUUCAUUCUCAAGAGGAUCCUUAUAAAAGAACAAGAAUGGCCCUUCUCUGUUUUUCUGCUUCCUGUCUCAUUAGGUGAUCUCUCCCUCUUGCUCACACUCCCACCAUUGUGAUGCCACCCGCCAUGAGGCCCCCACUAGAGCCCAGUAGAAGCUAGUGCCGCACUCUUGAGCCUCCA
Molecule: long non-coding RNA, 459 nt
Filed under: Marmota monax (woodchuck)
Lineage: Eukaryota; Metazoa; Chordata; Mammalia; Rodentia; Sciuridae
Source: RNAcentral